CCGAGUGGAGCGAGCGAGCCGAGUGGCCGUGCAGUCGCGUCUCGGAAACCGGUAGCGCUUUCAGCAUGGCUGACCAACUGACUGAAGAGCAGAUUGUAGAAUUCAAAUAAGCUUAUUUACUGUUUGACAAAGAUGGUGAUGAAACUAUAACAGCAAAGGAACUGGGAACAGAAAUGAGGCCUCUUUGGCAGUCCCCCAGAAGCAGAGUUACAGGACAUGAUUUAUGAAGUAGAUACCGAUAGUAAUGGCACAGUGGCUUCCCUGAAUUUCUGACAAUGAUGGCAAGAAAAAUGAAAGAUGCAGGCAGUGAAGAAGAAAUGAGAGAAGUAUUCUGUGUGUUUGAUAAGGAUGGCAAUGGUUAACUAGCGCAGCAGAACUUCACCAUGUGAUGAUGAACUUUGGAGAGAAGUUAACAGAUGAAGAGGCUGAUGAAAAAAUGAUCAGGGAAGCAGAUAUUGAUGGUGAUAGUCAAGUAAACUAUGAAGAGUUUGCAUAGGCUGGGCACGGUGGCUCACA
This is an RNA transcript of Mandrillus leucophaeus (drill), 516 nucleotides long. It is a transcript of the gene named calmodulin-A pseudogene, with no coding region annotated. NCBI's taxonomy places the organism in Eukaryota, Metazoa, Chordata, Mammalia, Primates, Cercopithecidae. The record is from RefSeq and is a predicted model, not a curated record. The transcript has a single exon.